UGUUUUCCUGACACGCCAGAUAAAUAAGUCCUUUGGAACAGAGCAUCAUAGAGGGUGAGAAUCCCGUCUUUGGUCUGAGCAGUUGUCUUUUGUGAUACAUUUUCAAAGAGUCAGGUUGUUUGGGAAUGCAGCCUAAAUUGGGUGGUAAAUCUCACCUAAAGCUAAAUAUUUGCGAGAGACCGAUAGCGAACAAGUACCGUGAGGGAAAGAUGAAAAGAACUUUGAAAAGAGAGUUAAACAGUAUGUGAAAUUGUUAAAAGGGAACCGUUUGGAGCCAGACUGGCUUGACUGUAAUCAAUCUAGAUCCUUCUGGAUGCACUUGCAGUUUAUGCCUGCCAAUGACAAUUUGUUUUGAGGGAAAAAACUGGGAAGAAUGUGGCCCCUUUUGGGGUGUUAUAGCUUCUUAGAAAAUACCUUGGAGCGGAUUGAGGAUCGCAGUGAAUGUCUUUUAGGCAAGAUUGCUGGGUGCUUUUGCUGAUAAAUGCUAGAAUUUCUGCUUUUAGGUGGUGCUAGUGU
This 516-nucleotide ribosomal RNA is filed under the name Circinella simplex. Its description in RNAcentral is "LSU rRNA". It matches the Rfam family "Eukaryotic large subunit ribosomal RNA", at positions 159 to 634 of the family's 3401-position model. The record is from RNAcentral. Lineage: Eukaryota; Fungi; Mucoromycota; Mucoromycetes; Mucorales; Lichtheimiaceae.